Molecule: ribosomal RNA, 779 nt
Filed under: uncultured bacterium
Lineage: Bacteria
Description: bacterial SSU rRNA
Rfam family: Bacterial small subunit ribosomal RNA
Source: RNAcentral
GAUGAACGCUGGCGGCGUGCCUAACACAUGCAAGUCGAACGAAGCACCUUUUGAGAUUCUUCGGAUGAUCGAUUGGUGACUGAGUGGCGGACGGGUGAGUAACGCGUGGGUAACCUGCCCUGUACAGGGGGAUAACAGCUGGAAACGGCUGCUAAUACCGCAUAAGCGCACGAGGAGACAUCUCCUUGUGUGAAAAACUCCGGUGGUACAGGAUGGGCCCGCGUCUGAUUAGCUGGUUGGCAGGGUAACGGCCUACCAAGGCGACGAUCAGUAGCCGGUCUGAGAGGAUGAACGGCCACAUUGGAACUGAGACACGGUCCAAACUCCUACGGGAGGCAGCAGUGGGGAAUAUUGCACAAUGGGGGAAACCCUGAUGCAGCAACGCCGCGUGAGUGAAGAAGUAUUUCGGUAUGUAAAGCUCUAUCAGCAGGGAAGAUAAUGACGGUACCUGACUAAGAAGCUCCGGCUAAAUACGUGCCAGCAGCCGCGGUAAUACGUAUGGAGCAAGCGUUAUCCGGAUUUACUGGGUGUAAAGGGUGCGUAGGUGGCAGUGCAAGUCAGAUGUGAAAGGCCGGGGCUCAACCCCGGAGCUGCAUUUGAAACUGCUCGGCUAGAGUACAGGAGAGGCAGGCGGAAUUCCUAGUGUAGCGGUGAAAUGCGUAGAUAUUAGGAGGAACACCAGUGGCGAAGGCGGCCUGCUGGACUGUUACUGACACUGAGGCACGAAAGCGUGGGGAGCAAACAGGAUUAGAUACCCUGGUAGUCCACGCCGUAAACGA